UUUCACUGUCAAUUGCUGUCCUUUAUAGGGAGCAGAGACACAAGGACACUCCACCAAAGACUCGUAGAAAUUGUUAACUUGUGACAGACUACAAUGUCUAAAGAACUACAGUUGAGCCACGAUGGACAGAGCGAAAGUGAUGAAGACUCUGAUAGACCUGAUACCAGACAUUAUAACCAUGGACAUGAAGAAAUUAUGUAUGAAAAUGAAUACUGUGAAACACCCACUAACUUCCAAGAAGAUUAUACAAAAAAUG
Carassius gibelio (silver crucian carp) is the source of this 256-nucleotide long non-coding RNA. RefSeq lists it as uncharacterized. Lineage: Eukaryota; Metazoa; Chordata; Actinopteri; Cypriniformes; Cyprinidae. The record is from RefSeq and is a predicted model, not a curated record. The transcript is spliced from 3 exons.